Molecule: non-coding RNA, 84 nt
Filed under: pig gut metagenome
Description: Glycine riboswitch
Rfam family: Glycine riboswitch aptamer
About the family: This family represents the bacterial glycine riboswitch. Glycine riboswitches usually consist of two metabolite-binding aptamers domains with similar structures in tandem.
Source: RNAcentral
ACGCUUCGGAGAGCAUGGUUACAUGCACCGUCGGGGCAAGCACCGCGCAUGCGGUGUGAAUCUCUCAGGUAACAGUACGGAGAC